CUGACACAAUGAAGCAGGUGUGAGACUGGCCCCUUUCUCCCAUGCCUUAGACAGGGCUCAGGGACUGCUUCAGGGGAGAUGUCAGAGGGCAGCGGGACCGGGAAGGGAGGAAGAAAGCAGAGUGACAGUGAGAGGGGGGAAAACUAUAAGAGGAAUUGUUUGUACGCUUGGAUCUGGACUUUUAGAACUGGUCAGGACCUGACAGAUCUUCCAGCCCAGUUCUCCCGGCUCUCAAACACUGGCAUCAUUUAUAAUUCGCUGGAAAAUCACCAGCAGGUAAAUGAAGGAGAAAAGAAAAGAACAAAAUCCACCGGGAACCAGAGACUUCCAGGUUCCAAAGACAGGCAAUCUCCACCAGGAAACACAGGAGAAGCCCUGAAAAGUUAGUCUUCUGGAAGAGAAAUUUACAUCUACAAAGGAAAUCUCCAUUUCUAAGUGUGUCUUCCUCUGCACUAGGAAGAGAAGGAUGACUAAAUCAGAGAAGUCUCUUGGCAGAGAAAGCACGGACUUCAGUC
This 515-nucleotide long non-coding RNA is filed under the name Pongo abelii (Sumatran orangutan). RNAcentral describes it as "lincRNA". Lineage: Eukaryota; Metazoa; Chordata; Mammalia; Primates; Hominidae. The record is from RNAcentral.